RNAcentral lists this long non-coding RNA (609 nucleotides) under Chloebia gouldiae (Gouldian finch). RNAcentral describes it as "Erythrura gouldiae (Gouldian finch) lncRNA (ENSEGOG00005011649.1)". The record is from RNAcentral. Lineage: Eukaryota; Metazoa; Chordata; Aves; Passeriformes; Passeridae.
CAGGGUUGCCUUGAGAGUCAGGGAAGGGUCUGGAAUAAAGGGAGGGGAUGCCUUGAGGAACAGAUUGUAGGAAGAAACCAAAUUGGGGAAAAUAUAGAGGGAUAACAGAACAAACCAUCUGACAAUGACUUAAAGAAAUAAAUACGAACCACUGAGCCCAAGGGCACUGGACAAAUUGGAAUAGUAUUGAAGAUUGGAAAGCUGAAGCCUCUUUCUCCAGAGUCCUGCACUGUUUGUUGUCAACACAUCCAGAACCAAAUCCCUGCUGGGCUCACGUCUUGAAAGAAGCUUUCUCUAGACUUUGUUUCUGGGAAUUGCCAUUUUGAUUCAGAUUUUGGGGGAAGUUUGAAUCUUUAAUUUUUUUUCCUUUGUUUUGUGACUCCCAUUCUGAACAGAGCUUGGACCAAUGUGUGAAUAAGUGGAUUUUGCCUCUUGCUUAAGAAGAUGAAGAUCUCCUGUCUGAAACGUUAUUUCUGGGGUCUUUUCAAAGCAUUUCCCAGCUCCUGGAAACUUUCUCCCAAAACCCAUCCUUCUGGAUGAAGGCAGGCUGUCCUGGAAGAGUAUCUGUGUUUGAAAAUACAUUUCCACAGCCAUCACAAUAAAUUACUU